RNAcentral lists this ribosomal RNA (468 nucleotides) under uncultured bacterium. Its description in RNAcentral is "partial 16S ribosomal RNA". It matches the Rfam family "Bacterial small subunit ribosomal RNA", at positions 28 to 507 of the family's 1533-position model. The record is from RNAcentral.
GACGAACGCUGGCGGCGUGCUUAACACAUGCAAGUCGAACGGAAAGGCCCUGCUUUUGUGGGGUGCUCGAGUGGCGAACGGGUGAGUAACACGUGAGUAACCUGCCCUUGACUUUGGGAUAACUUCAGGAAACUGGGGCUAAUACCGGAUAGGAGCUCCUGCUGCAUGGUGGUGGUUGGAAAGUUUCGGCGGUUGGGGAUGGACUCGCGGCUUAUCAGCUUGUUGGUGGGGUAGUGGCUUACCAAGGCUUUGACGGGUAGCCGGCCUGAGAGGGUGACCGGCCACAUUGGGACUGAGAUACGGCCCAGAAUCCUACGGGAGGCAGCAGUGGGGAAUAUUGCACAAUGGGCGGAAGCCUGAUGCAGCAACGCCGCGUGCGGGAUGACGGCCUUCGGGUUGUAAACCGCUUUCGCAUGUGACGAAGCGUGAGUGACGGUAAUGGGUAAAGAAGCACCGGCUAACUACGUG